This 496-nucleotide ribosomal RNA is filed under the name uncultured Glomeromycotina. Its description in RNAcentral is "partial small subunit ribosomal RNA". It matches the Rfam family "Eukaryotic small subunit ribosomal RNA", at positions 591 to 1092 of the family's 1831-position model. The record is from RNAcentral. Lineage: Eukaryota; Fungi; Glomeromycota.
CCAAUAGCGUAUAUUAAAGUUGUUGCAGUUAAAAAGCUCGUAGUUGAAUUUCGGGGUUCUACCGUUGGUCGGGCAAUAGUCUGUACUGGCGUGUAGAAUUUCUACCUUCUGGGGAACUAUCAUGUUAUUUAUUUAGCGUGGUGGGAAACCAGGACCUUUACCUUGAAAAAAUUAGAGUGUUCACAGCAGGCUUAUGUCUGAAUACAUUAGCAUGGAAUAAUAAAAUAGGACGUUGGUCCCGUUUUGUUGGUUUCUGAAUCACCGUAAUGAUUAAUAGGGAUAGUUGGGGGCAUUAGUAUUCAAUUGUCAGAGGUGAAAUUCUUGGAUUUAUUGAAGACUAACUUCUGCGAAAGCAUUUGCCAAGGAUUUUUUCAUUAAUCAAGAACGAAAGUGAGGGGAUCGAAGACGAUCAGAUACCGUCGUAUUCUUAACCAUAAACUAUGCCGACUAGGGAUCGAACGAUGUUAAUUUUUCUUGACUCGUUCGGCGCCUUACG